Molecule: long non-coding RNA, 1181 nt
Filed under: Nicotiana benthamiana
Lineage: Eukaryota; Viridiplantae; Streptophyta; Magnoliopsida; Solanales; Solanaceae
Description: long non-coding RNA (NBEN_LNC036160)
Source: RNAcentral
AUAUCCAACUAUAUUUAGCUAUAAUGAACAAGUAUAUCCCCUCAUAGGAUAGGGAAAAAUCAUAUCAACUUUUAUCUAACUUGAGGUGCCAACAGACAUAAAAUGGCAAAGAUUUAUUUCCCAAAUGUUGAUCAUUUUCAUUAAAUACAUUUCAGCUAAAUUGCUUCUGACCCUGCUAAAUAUAGCAAAAGGUCCUUUUUUGUGUUACUGCAUUAGGAGGUCAGGUUUCAAACGUUCCCUUUCCACAGCAGACAAAGGCUUGUUUAGCUUAUAUUUGUUUUUAGCAUUGGACAUAACUCGAAAGAAAGGUCGAAUAAAUUGAGAAAGAGCAGAACUCACAAACCUGGAGAUGGCUAGCUACGUUAUGUCUCGUUAUUCCCUCCACUUUCAUCAGCUCUAGUAUUCGAGAAGGAAUGGCUUGAUCAAUACCAAGUUGCUCUACUGCUUGAACAAACUUCUUGUGUAGUUCAGGUGACCAAUCUACCUGAAUCAGAAAAAGAUACCAAACUUUCCCCUAUAUCAAUUGAUUCAAACUCCCGCAUAUGCAGGAUAAUUUGACCACUGCUCAGUCAGCAAUACUAGAGGUUGAAAUCCCAAGACAAAUCUAGGUAGAGAGAAAGAGAAACCAAACUUAUUCCCCUGAAAUCCUAGAACAAAAUGAGAGGAAGCUAACCAACUUCUAGGAGAGACAUAAUUGACUGCAUUGAUCUUGGUAGCUACACCACCCACGGAAUUUAAAGAACCUAAAGGAGCAUGAGUCAUAUAUUCUGCGGAACGCCGUUCCUGCCAAGGUUGUAUGUGUUUUUUCAACCUACUCAAGUCUAACCCAUUUGGACCCCUUAGAGGCUCUAACCAUGGAGCACGCAGAUCCCAAAAACGCAUAGUUUCUCCUCCAAUUGCAUGUCUUUCUUCAACCUACUCAAUUGAUUCAAACUCCCGCCUAUGUAGGAUAAUUUGACCACUGCUCGGGAACUAUAUUAGAGGUUGAUAUCCUCAAGACAAAUCUAGCUAGAGUAUAUACUGAUUCCUAUAUUUCAUGCACUGUUUGAAAAGUUAAAACUUCAAGAUAACAAAAUUAGCACCGAAUUCAUCUCACAGGUGCUAUAAGCAGAAUCCUGAAAGAUCCACUACAAUUGAUAAAUCAUAGACAAUUUGAAGAGGAUGUUAUAUGAUGUCCAUAA